AUGCAAACUGUAACACAAGGGCCAUUAACCCUUUCUCUGCCGAGCACACUCAGUCCCCACGCCCCGCACCUAUUGUCUCCUGUGCUAGAAGCUUUGCAGAAAACCUGGAAAUUUUGGCCAGAAAUGGUGAGAAGAAAAAGCAUGAAGAAGCCGCGAAGUGUGGGGGAGAAAAAGGUGGAAGCGAAGAAACAGCUCCCGGAGCAAACUGUACAAAACCUCGCCAAGAGUGUCGGGAGGCAGGACCGUUAUUCCUGCGGAGCAGGAGAGAGAGGAGAGACCCUGAAACACGCGCCACCUAUCUUUGUGGGGAGGGAUAAUUGA
This 321-nucleotide long non-coding RNA is filed under the name Lynx canadensis (Canada lynx). RNAcentral describes it as "lncRNA (ENSLCNG00005010090.1)". The stretch from base 1 to 110 matches the Rfam family "ZEB2 antisense RNA 1 conserved region 1", at positions 19 to 128 of the family's 128-position model. Lineage: Eukaryota; Metazoa; Chordata; Mammalia; Carnivora; Felidae. The record is from RNAcentral.